This is a long non-coding RNA of Numida meleagris (helmeted guineafowl), 2442 nucleotides long. RefSeq lists it as uncharacterized. Lineage: Eukaryota; Metazoa; Chordata; Aves; Galliformes; Numididae. The record is from RefSeq and is a predicted model, not a curated record. The transcript is spliced from 5 exons.
UUCCUGUGUAUUGGAGGCUUUCUGAAGGAGGCAGUUAAGAAGAGGGGGCCAGGCUGCUCUUGCUGUUGCUCCAUUCAAGAAUGGGGCAUAUGUAAACUAAGGCUGGCUGGAAGAACCUGAACUGAACAAUUCUGUCAAAGAAAUCAGACUUAAAUAAAUCUAACUCACUCACAGAACUGGGGUUUUUGUGCUGUAAUUCCAUUUUAAGGAGAAAGGGAUGAUCACGACCCCACUGAAGGCUGGAUAUCCUGGUUCGGCCUUGGCCAUCCCAGUCACCAGGGAGGUGCCUGGGGCCCAGGGCUGGAACUACCCCUGCACUCAAUCUGGCCUGCUCCUGGCUGGGAGCAUAGAACAGGCCCUGUCUGCCAGAUCUGGCCCUGCCCAGGGCUAGUGAGUCCCUGCUGCUUCCUGAACCUAGAUCUCACAAAGCCACUGGCCAUCACAGUGCCUUGACCAAGAAGAAUUUGGUGAUGCAAUUCUUCCAACAACUGGGAAAGCCCUGUGCUUGCAGGGUAGUAGUGGCUCAUACUUCUUAUCUUGAUUUUUAGUGUGGUUUUCAAGAUUGUCUCACGUGACACCUCAGAUGAUGCUUUUGACCCUUUCUCCUGUAAGAUUCUCAUAGAGAAGCAGAUGAAGUAUGGGCUACAUAAGCAGUCAGUAAGGUGGACUGAAAGCUUGCUAAGCUGAUCGACUCAAAGGAUUCUGACCAGCAGCACAAAUUCUAGCUGGAGGCCAGUCGCUAGCAGUUCAUCCCGUCCACUUCCUAUACUGGGGGACGCAGAGCUGAAUGCAGUACUCUAGGUGAGGUCUCAAGAGCACAGUAGAUGGAGAGAAUCACCUCCCUUGACCUGCUGCCCAUGCUUCUUUUGAUGAAGUCCAGGGUAUGGUUGGCUUUCUGAGCUGCGAGGGCACAUUGCUGGGUCAAUGCUGAGCUUCUCAUCAGCCUGUGUAUAUCCUUGGGAUUGCCCUGACCCAGAUGAAGGACCUUGCACUUGGCCUUGAACUUCAUGAGGUUUGCAUGUAUCAUCAGGUGAACUUGACAAUAGCAAAAUAUCGAUGUGUUUUUAAUAACAAUAUAAUAUUUCUUUGCUCUUAGAAAAAAAUGCAGGUAAAUGGAAUUUAAAUCCUUGCUUCAAGUUAUGGUGGUUAAGGUGUGCGUGUUCAAGUUAUUUUUAUUUGAAGAACUAACUUUCUAUGGUUCCCAGAAUAACUGAUGCUUAUGCCUUUAUUGCAACACACUAUUCUUGUCUUGGAGAGUUGACGGUGAAUGACUUUAUCUGUGACUCUACAAAAUAUGUUUAUUCCAAAAGAGUGGGCUUUUGUAAGUGAAUAGUUGGUGCCUUGCUCAGAGGACAAAUGCUUCAUCAUACUUGCACAAAACUGCAAGAGUGUGAACAUUGCUUUGGAUUGUGGGCCUUUGUAAAAAGAGUGUUAUCUGUUAAAGUACAAUGGUUCUGAUUCUUUUCUCUAUUCAGAUAAUAAUUUUUUUUUCAGGAACAGUAUCAGUACCACCACAGUGUUGCUAUGACCCCAAGGGAAGACAUUCUUCAAUGAGCCUACUGUAUAGGAAAGUGGAAGUAAAUUGUUAGAGGCAAAUAGAAUAAUAUAAAGAAAUAGUAAGGCAGGUUUACACAACAAGCAGAGGCUUUGUCACACCAGUACUUAAAUCACUACCAAUUCUUUCUACAUAUUGAGUGGCAAGAGAGAUUACUAAGAAAGAAUUUAAGAUAGUUUAAUGAAGUGGAUUUGUUAACUGGCAACCUCUCUCAAACGCAAAGGAAAAUGUGGGAGAAAACUUAAAGAUACUUAUUUGAAAUUUUAACAAAUGAAUAAGAGCUAGAAUUGGCGGAAUGGGAGGCAAUGAAAGAUGGUAAAGAAAUAAGAUCUUCAGAUAAUGUUAUACUGUCCGAAUUCCUAUACUGUUUUCAGUAUAGAAUUACUGUCAUGAAAACUCAUGUACUUUCUUUACUUGUGUAAGCAGAUGUCUGCAGUGUAAAACAUGCCCUGGAGCUCUUUUUCAUCUAGAAUUCACAACAUUUAAAUUUACCCUGCAAUUGAAGCUCUAAGGAGUGUCCUGAGUGGUAGGUGAAAGUCCAUCCUGUAGAUACUCAUACAGGAAAAAUGGUGAUCCAGUAUGAAGGAAACUGCACUUGAGUGAACAGCGAACCAGUCUGUUUGAUCUGAAGGAGAUAGAGGCAUAGUAAAAAGACAGCUUUGUGAGUUGUCUGUUCAGAGAUAAUCGCUUCAGCAAACAUUCAGUUACUACCCAGUUUAGAGGUAGUAGCUGAGUUAAUGUUUGCAGACAACACUACCCAGAAAUACAGUAGGUGCAGGAGGCUGGCAAUUUUUUCAGUUUACCAUUGUACUUUCGAAAAUACUGCUUGGUUAAGAAUGCAAAUUUUUUUAUAACAAAUCUACAGUGUCAAGAACUUGUCACAAGUG